AGAGAUAUAGCUCAGUUGGUAGAGUGCUUGCCCUGCAUGCACAAAUGCACAAGGCCCUGGUUCAAUCCCUAUCUCUA
Molecule: transfer RNA, 77 nt
Filed under: Marmota marmota marmota (Alpine marmot)
Lineage: Eukaryota; Metazoa; Chordata; Mammalia; Rodentia; Sciuridae
Also listed under: 1 other name
Rfam family: tRNA
About the family: Transfer RNA (tRNA) molecules are approximately 80 nucleotides in length. Their secondary structure includes four short double-helical elements and three loops (D, anti-codon, and T loops).
Source: Rfam by way of RNAcentral